AGUGAACGCUGGCGGUAGGCCUAACACAUGCAAGUCGAACGGCAGCACAGUAAGAGCUUGCUCUUACGGGUGGCGAGUGGCGGACGGGUGAGGAAUACAUCGGAAUCUACUUUUUCGGGGGGGAUAACGUAGGGAAACUUACGCUAAUACCGCAUACGACCUACGGGUGAAAGCAGGGGUUCUUCGGACCUUGCGCGAUUGAAUGAGCCGAUGUCGGAUUAGCUAGUUGGCGGGGUAAAGGCCCACCAAGGCGACGAUCCGUAGCUGGUCUGAGAGGAUGAUCAGCCACACUGGAACUGAGACACGGUCCAGACUCCUACGGGAGGCAGCAGUGGGGAAUAUUGGACAAUGGGCGCAAGCCUGAUCCAGCCAUACCGCGUGGGUGAAGAAGGCCUUCGGGUUGUAAAGCCCUUUUGUUGGGAAAGAAAAGCAGCAGGUUAAUACCCCGCUGUUCUGACGGUACCCAAAGAAUAAGCACCGGCUAACUUCGUG
RNAcentral lists this ribosomal RNA (492 nucleotides) under uncultured bacterium. RNAcentral describes it as "partial 16S ribosomal RNA". It matches the Rfam family "Bacterial small subunit ribosomal RNA", at positions 29 to 507 of the family's 1533-position model. The record is from RNAcentral.